CAGUUGUUGUAACCCAUCUAUAUCCUACAUUAUUUGUUACAAUUGUCAUUUCAAUAAAACUUCCGCUCUCUUGCUUUUCAACUUUCAACGAACCAAGUCGUGUUUUAUUUCUUGUGCUCCGCAUUCUAUAUUCCAAUUUUAUAUUUCUAUCAAAGAACGCCCUUAACUUCAUCCAUAAACAUAAACAUGUCUAAUGCAGCAAUAUAGCUUUUGAUACCAUAGUUUGCACUCUUCACAUUGCAAAUGUCGCCAUUUUAGUUUUGUUUAUCCUAAAUUUAAAUUUCAUUAUAAAACUGGCGUGGAAUCGGCUAAUGUGAUGUGUGAUUAUCACAUUUGUGAUCAACAAAUGUGAUCACAUUAAAUUUUCUUUCUGGGUAAUGUGAUCAUCAAAAAUUAUUUGAAAUUUGGCAUCACUUUAGAAGAAUAGCUUGACGUUUGUCAUUUGACUUUCUCCUUCUUACCAAUUUUUACCGCGAAGUUUAUUUUCCAGUGAUUUUUCAAACUAAUUUAUUGAGUUGGUUGAAAAUAAAGUGUUAAAAAUGUCACAAGUGCUAGCGAACAAAUCGCAAAUAGAUUUGCUAACAAGCUUUAUGGAAGCGCACCCGGAUCUGGCUAAAUCCUUUUCCCAAAAAGGAAGCAACUCCCGGAAUGCCCAUAGAAUUUUGUGGGAAAAACUAAAGCAGCAACUAAACGCAAAUGGACCACCGUCAAAAAGUUGUGCGGAGUGGAAAAGAUUUUGGACAGUCCGGAAAUACAACGCCAAACAUAAAUUAAUUAAAAACAAAAAAUCAAUAACAAAAACUGGGGGAGGACCGUUUACUGAACAUACAGCUCAAAUAUAUUCAAUUUGCUUCGAAGGUUAAGAUUUAUCAAACGAACUUUUCUGCGGUAAUUAUUCUCACUUUCAUCAUUUUCAUUUCUUAAAAAUAAUUGCACAGGGACAAACACGUUCAUUUUUUACGAAAAUAGAAGAAACAAUAAGAAAUCGAUUUAUAUCGUGUCAAUUAUACCUAGAUGUGACAACAAAAUAGCUGUCACAAGAAAAAGUCACAAAUAUGUGACUAUCACAUGUGAUUAUCACCUUACGCAGACGGAAUUUUUAUUUUAUGACUAUCAACUAUCACAAAUCACAUUAGCCGAUCCCACCCCUGAACUUUUAAGAAUAAGUCGAGGAGUGCAAACAUCGGUAAUUUUGUAAAAAAUAAUAAAAUAGAAUUAAGAUCUCAUUUUUGUCAACUACAUAUCAAAAGACGAAACAUGUCUAUCUAAUAUAUUAAAUAAGAAGAAAUCUGUUCUGUGUAUCAAAAUAAAAGAAAGAAACUUAGAACUUGAAAUUAUAAAAGACGGAUCUAUACUUGUA
This is a long non-coding RNA of Eupeodes corollae, 1360 nucleotides long. RefSeq lists it as uncharacterized. NCBI's taxonomy places the organism in Eukaryota, Metazoa, Arthropoda, Insecta, Diptera, Syrphidae. The transcript is spliced from 3 exons. The record is from RefSeq and is a predicted model, not a curated record.